RNAcentral lists this ribosomal RNA (484 nucleotides) under uncultured bacterium. Its description in RNAcentral is "partial 16S ribosomal RNA". It matches the Rfam family "Bacterial small subunit ribosomal RNA", at positions 29 to 523 of the family's 1533-position model. The record is from RNAcentral.
AGUGAACGCUGGCGGCGUGCUUAACACAUGCAAGUCGAACGAGAACGGGUUAUAGCUUGCUAUAAUUGUCAGCUAAGUGGCGCACGGGUGAGUAAUGUAUAGGUAAUAUGCCUCUUACUAAGGGAUAACAAAUGGAAACGUUUGCUAAUACCUUAUACUCCUUAUUAACAUAAGUUAAUAAGGGAAAGAUUUAUUGGUAAGAGAUUAGCCUGUAUUGUAUCAGUUAGUUGGUGGGGUAAUGGCCCACCAAGCCUAUGAUCGGUAGCCGACCUGAGAGGGUGAUCGGCCACAUUGAAACUGAGAUACGGUCCAAACUCCUACGGGAGGCAGCAGUGGGGAAUAUUGGGCAAUGGGGGAAACCCUGACCCAGCAACGCCGCGUGAAGGAAGAAGGUUUUCGGAUUGUAAACUCCUUUUAUAUGAGAAGAUAAUGACGGUAUUAUAUGAAUAAGCACCGGCUAACUCCGUGCCAGCCGCCGCGGUAA